GGCGGCGUGCCUAACACAUGCAAGUCGAACGCGAAAGCCCCGCAAGGGGUAAGUAGAGUGGCAAACGGGUGAGUAACACGUGGGUGACCUGCCUUCGAGUGGGGGAUAACGUUCCGAAAGGGACGCUAAUACCGCAUGACAUCCUGCCUUUGAACAGGCGGAAAUUAAAGCCGGGGAUCGCAAGACCUGGCGCUUGAAGAGGGGCCCGCGCCUGAUUAGCUAGUUGGUGGGGUAACGGCUCACCAAGGCGACGAUCAGUAUCCGGCCUGAGAGGGCGGACGGACACACUGGGACUGAGACACGGCCCANACUCCUACGGGAGGCAGCAGUGGGGAAUUGUUCGCAAUGGGCGCAAGCCUGACGACGCAACGCCGCGUGGAGGAUGAAGACCUUCGGGUCGUAAACUCCUUUCGAUCGAGACGAAUGACUUCCGGGUGAACAGUCCGGA
Molecule: ribosomal RNA, 448 nt
Filed under: uncultured Acidobacteriota bacterium
Lineage: Bacteria; Pseudomonadati; Acidobacteriota
Description: bacterial SSU rRNA
Rfam family: Bacterial small subunit ribosomal RNA
Source: RNAcentral